ACCUUAUGUUUUGUUUGCCUUUGG
This 24-nucleotide non-coding RNA is filed under the name Arabidopsis thaliana (thale cress). Lineage: Eukaryota; Viridiplantae; Streptophyta; Magnoliopsida; Brassicales; Brassicaceae. The record is from RNAcentral.